Molecule: long non-coding RNA, 258 nt
Filed under: Vulpes vulpes (red fox)
Lineage: Eukaryota; Metazoa; Chordata; Mammalia; Carnivora; Canidae
Description: lncRNA (ENSVVUG00000028361.1)
Source: RNAcentral
CCCUGUGUGACAAAGAACCAGGCCCUUGGAAACAGCCAUAACAAAAUUUUAUUCUUGGCUCUGUUAUUUCUUAGUAUCCCUUGUCUCCACCGCGAGGAAGCAGCUUUCCCUCCUGGGAAUACACAAGGUGCAGUGCUCAUUUACGUCUGUCUCCACUCAGGACGUUUAAGGAAAUCUGACACAUGCUUGCACCGUGCACCAGCUGCUCUGAAGAGAUACUUCCACGGUCUGAGAAUGCACCACCUAUGUGAGUCUUAG